RNAcentral lists this unclassified non-coding RNA (378 nucleotides) under uncultured Bacillaceae bacterium. RNAcentral's name for it is "contains 16S-23S intergenic spacer region". Lineage: Bacteria; Bacillati; Bacillota; Bacilli; Caryophanales; Bacillaceae. The record is from RNAcentral.
UCCGGUUUGUCACCGGCAGUCACCUUAGAGUGCCCAACUAAAUGCUGGCAACUAAGAUCAAGGGUUGCGCUCGUUGCGGGACUUAACCCAACAUCUCACGACACGAGCUGACGACAACCAUGCACCACCUGUCACUCUGUCCCCGAAGGGAACGUCCUAUCUCUAGGAAAAUCAAGAGGAUGUCAAGACCUGGUAAGGUUCUUCGCGUUGCGUCGAAUUAAACCACAUGCUCCACCGCUUGUGCGGGCCCCCGUCAAUUCUUUUGAGUUUCAGCCUUGCGGCCGUACUCCCCAGGCGGAGUGCUUAAUGCGUUAACUUCAGCACUAAGGGGCGGAAACCCCCUAACACCUAGCACUCAUCGUUUACGGCGUGGACUAC